This 451-nucleotide ribosomal RNA is filed under the name uncultured bacterium. RNAcentral describes it as "bacterial SSU rRNA". It matches the Rfam family "Bacterial small subunit ribosomal RNA", at positions 354 to 796 of the family's 1533-position model. The record is from RNAcentral.
GUGGGGAAUCUUGCGCAAUGGACGAAAGUCUGACGCAGCCACGCCGCGUGAGUGAAGAAGGCCUUCGGGUUGUAAAGCUCUGUCGGGCGGGACGAAAAUCAUUGGUGUUAACAGCGCCAGUGACUGACGGUACCGCCAAAGGAAGCACCGGCUAACUUCGUGCCAGCAGCCGCGGUAAUACGAGGGGUGCAAGCGUUGCUCGGAAUUAUUGGGCGUAAAGGGCAGGUAGGUGGUCUCGUUUGUCUGGGGUGAAAUCCUUGGGCUUAACCCAAGAAGUGCCUCGGAAACGGCGAGACUAGAGUACUGGAGAGGGUCGUGGAAUACCCGGUGUAGCGGUGAAAUGCGUAGAGAUCGGGUGGAACACCAGAGGCGAAGGCGGCGACCUGGACAGUAACUGACACUCAACUGCGAAAGCGUGGGGAGCAAACAGGAUUAGAAACCCGAGUAGUCC